Non-coding RNA from Corchorus olitorius, 103 nucleotides. The record is from Rfam. Lineage: Eukaryota; Viridiplantae; Streptophyta; Magnoliopsida; Malvales; Malvaceae.
UGAUGAAGGCGAUGUUGGUGAGGUUCAAUCUGAAGAUGGGGUUAUGCCUGAGGGCAUAAAAGUUCAUUUCGGAUUGAGCCGCGCCAAUAUCACUUUUCUUUCU